AUUGAACGCUGGCGGCAUGCCUAACACAUGCAAGUCGAACGGCAGCACGGCAGUAGCAAUACUGUGGGUGGCGAGUGGCGGACGGGGUGAGGAAUACGUCGGAAUCUGCCCAGUCGUGGGGGAUAACUAGCCGAAAGGUUAGCUAAUACCGCAUACGACCGAGAGGUGAAAGCGGGGGACCGCAAGGCCUCGCGCGAUUGGAUGAGCCGACGUCGGAUUAGCUAGUUGGUGGGGUAAAGGCCCACCAAGGCGACGAUCCGUAGCUGGUCUGAGAGGAUGAUCAGCCACACUGGAACUGAGACACGGUCCAGACUCCUACGGGAGGCAGCAGUGGGGAAUAUUGGACAAUGGGCGCAAGCCUGAUCCAGCAAUGCCGCGUGUGUGAAGAAGGCCUUCGGGUUGUAAAGCACUUUUAUCAGGAACGAAAAGCGUUGGAUUAAUACUCUGACGUGCUGACGGUACCUGAGGAAUAAGCACCGGCUAACUUCGUG
This 491-nucleotide ribosomal RNA is filed under the name uncultured bacterium. RNAcentral's name for it is "bacterial SSU rRNA". It matches the Rfam family "Bacterial small subunit ribosomal RNA", at positions 29 to 507 of the family's 1533-position model. The record is from RNAcentral.